UGGGGAAUAUUGCACAAUGGGCGCAAGCCUGAUGCAGCGACGCCGCGUGAAGGAUGAAGGUCUUCGGAUCGUAAACUUCUAUCAGCAGGGAAGAAACCAUGACGGUACCUGACUAAGAAGCCCCGGCUAACUACGUGCCAGCAGCCGCGGUAAUACGUAGGGGGCAAGCGUUAUCCGGAAUUACUGGGUGUAAAGGGUGCGUAGGCGGCGAUUUAAGUCAGAUGUGAAAACUCAGGGCUCAACCUUGAGACUGCAUCUGAAACUGAGUUGCUAGAGUGCAGGAGAGGAAAGCGGAAUUCCGAGUGUAGCGGUGAAAUGCGUAGAGAUUCGGAGGAACACCAGUAGCGAAGGCGGCUUUCUGGACUGUAACUGACGCUGAGGCACGAAAGCGUGGGGAGCGAACAGG
This 406-nucleotide ribosomal RNA is filed under the name uncultured Eubacteriales bacterium. RNAcentral's name for it is "bacterial SSU rRNA". It matches the Rfam family "Bacterial small subunit ribosomal RNA", at positions 355 to 776 of the family's 1533-position model. The record is from RNAcentral. Lineage: Bacteria; Bacillati; Bacillota; Clostridia; Eubacteriales.